RNAcentral lists this ribosomal RNA (253 nucleotides) under uncultured bacterium. Its description in RNAcentral is "partial 16S ribosomal RNA". It matches the Rfam family "Bacterial small subunit ribosomal RNA", at positions 524 to 776 of the family's 1533-position model. The record is from RNAcentral.
UACGUAGGUGGCAAGCGUUGUCCGGAUUUAUUGGGUUUAAAGGGUGCGUAGGCGGCCUAUUAAGUCAGUGGUGAAAUAUUUCAGCUCAACUGGAAUUGUGCCAUUGAUACUGAUGGGCUUGAGUACAGAUGAGGUAGGCGGAAUUGACGGUGUAGCGGUGAAAUGCUUAGAUAUCGUCAAGAACACCUAUAGCGAAGGCAGCUCACUAGGCUGUAACUGACGCUGAGGCACGAAAGUGUGGGGAUCAAACAGG